CAGCCGCCGCGGGAAUACGGAGGAUCCAAGCGUUAUCCGGAAUCAUUGGGUUUAAAGGGUCCGUAGGCGGUCUUGUAAGUCAGUGGUGAAAGCCCAUCGCUCAACGGUGGAACGGCCAUUGAUACUGCAGGACUUGAAUUAUUGGGAAGUAACUAGAAUAUGUAGUGUAGCGGUGAAAUGCUUAGAGAUUACAUGGAAUACCAAUUGCGAAGGCAGGUUACUACCAAUUGAUUGACGCUGAUGGACGAAAGCGUGGGUAGCGAACAGGAUUAGAGACCCCAGUAGUCCCUGUCUCUUAUAC
RNAcentral lists this ribosomal RNA (301 nucleotides) under uncultured bacterium. Its description in RNAcentral is "partial 16S ribosomal RNA". It matches the Rfam family "Bacterial small subunit ribosomal RNA", at positions 509 to 807 of the family's 1533-position model. The record is from RNAcentral.